UUCGUAAAGGAAUAAAUCUCAUUGAUUUAUCCCGUUGGUUUCUAAUUUAUUACUUUUAUUUUUGCUCGUUUCGAGUUCGGGACACAGACAACGUCCAAAAUAGAAAGUUUAUCAAAUCUGUAAUACCGAAUUCGCUCGAUAACCAAUUAUUUGGGUAAUACGGUUACACAGGGAUCAUACGAUUCCGUGCGAGCACGCGGUGGGACUCUGCUUCGAGAUUAUUAUCCAAUACGUUGUUAUCAAUCUCGUGUUAAGAAAGCUAAAAUGUCAGUGUACGCUCGAACGGAAUAUCCUUAAACGAACAAAUUUUAUUCCACGUUUUUCACUCGUUUUCACACGUAGAAUAAUCCGCCGAGUAUUACCUGCUUCUACCUGGUCGGUAAUUAGCUUCGGUCACACGUACUAAGUAAAUUUUCAAAUUGAAUUUUAUCGACGACGAAGCACCGCGUAAAAAACCUUUUAUUUCACAUCUUCCAUUUAUUUUUUCAUGGAAUCACUUCCGUAUCGAUCGGCGGAUCAGGAUCAUCGAGACAGCCUGUGUAACUUGCUAAUUUACUCGUACCUUUCACUUCGAUUUCCUCGUGCUCCAACAUCGAAACCGUCACAAAUGGAUUCAGGGACAUUAAAUCGUCCAGGAAGUUUCGAGGGACGCACGUGAAUUCCAUUUUCGAAUUUUCUCGGUCAGUGCGUUCACGUGGUGGCAGGAUAUCGGGGAAUGCAAAGGUCGUUACAUACUGGCUUAAUCAAGAUAGGCGAUAUCAGUGUCGCUGGGUCAAACGUUCGAACAGCUGGUUUCGCAAUUCGCGGCCCUCCUCCUGGAUGGAAUAAAACCGGACAUCGCGGCGGCUGCACCCGCCUCAGCCGCACGAUUCUCUACUACGACCUGGCUACUGGUCCAAGAGACCGGCACGCGUCCAACAGUUGUUAUUACUUUUAUGUAAGAGACGCGGGGCGGCUGGCCUUUUAUCGCUCUCGUUGCGCCGUCCCGCGCGAAUCUUAGAACAAGCGUACAGAAUCAGUGACUCACUGGCAUUUCGAUUUCCCACCGUGGUUUCGUAUGGUAAUUCCAAUAGUUAUCGUAUAAAACAGUUUAAACGUUUACCAUGCGAAACAAUUUGAGCAUUUACCAUAGAAAAUCCUGCAGGCACGUUCAGGCUAUCGAUAUUUAUUGUCAAUGUUGAUGAGAAUGUUGAAAACCUGGAAACAUCGACUGUCCGAACGCUGAGUCUCUGACUAUGUCAGUCCUAAACUCUGUCCUGUAAUUGCAGGUACAAGCAGGAAAUAAAUCGAAAAUAUACCUUGCGAUUUUUUCAUAUAGCGCUUCGUUUCUGAGAAAAUCGAGUUUGAAGAUUUGUCGAGUAUACUUAAACUUGGCUACGUAUCGAUCUGGUACGAAUAAACAGUAUGAGUAACGAGUGAACGAUUUAAGGCCUCAUUUUCAAGAAAAUAGAGUUUGGUUAAUAAGCGAUCUAGUGUACACGCACGAUACAUUUUCAAAUUUAUUUUUCUCGAAAACAAGGCAUUGUUUAUGAAGAAAUUGUACUCUCCGUUUUUGACUUAUUUUCAUGCGCAGUUUAAACCAUCGUCGAUCGUUUUCACCCCCGUUCAGUGCAGAUUUAGCCAAGUUUAAGUAUACUGGAGAAAAUUUCCAACUCGAUUUUCUCGGAAACCAAGCGACUCAGUCUUUCACGUAAAGUCAUCUUCCACCCGGUUAUACCACGCGUUAUCGGACACCCUGUAUAAGACGCGUUCAAAUUUGAUUAAAACUGUGACAGGAUACGACUACCACGAUUAUAUUAGUUUCGCAGCUAAUUUGACGGUGUACGUUCGCAACGUACCAGCUAGAAGUUUCAAGAUAUACAGUGGAAAUGUAUAUUAGUAGAAAAUUAGUACGUAACAGGAAUAAAUCGCGUUGAACAUACAAUUAGAGCUAUCUAUCGUUAAAUAUCGAGGAUUGUUAACCCCUUGCGGUCGGUGUAUUAUUCUGGUAGCACUAUCAACUAGUCGAAGCAGCGUGUAAAUAAUUGCCGCCGUUGUGGAGACAUUCGAUGACAAAGGCUUAAAUGGAAUAGCUGAUCGACUGCCUAAAUAUUUCGAUGUACGCUAACGCGUGAAAACGUAUGUCCGAGUUUCCUACUUUUAACCAUCUUCGUUAAUUACAAACUUUGUCAUUCGAAUCGCAUCGAGCAAACACGGACUCCUGCAACAUCCAAACACUGAACAAUCUUUAGCACUGAACGUUCUCGGACAACGCACAUUGUACAUCUUGGAGCAUUCACGCAGUAGAUAUCCCGCGCAAACAUUGUACAGCUUUAAACAUUCAAAGUGUAAGCAUCGAACAAACACUUAACAUACCCACGCAAUCAGCGUAAUCAUCCAUUCAAGUUGUAUCGAAGUUUAAAUUUCAUUGUCUAUUAAUUAAACACAAUUGUUCGCUUCGGUUCCUCUCUGUUUGUGUACAUCGCGACUGAGUAAUAUAUUAUACAAUUACUCGGUACACAUAGCUCUGGUCGAGGACAAACAAACAACAUCAAAGGCAAAUACAGAUCUGUCACUGCGGAUCGAUUCGCCUGAACGACGUGAACGCGCCUGAAUCUUCACUGGCGGUCCAGCUGUCACUAGUCAGCGAAAUAAUUUAGGCGAGUUAGGCGGGCAGCAGUUUUCGAGCAUCGUACGAAAACAUACGUAUCCGUAAUCACGAAUCCGGAUUCCGAUUUCCAGGAAUCCCUGGUCGAUUUCUUCUAAGCGUGUCCGUGUUUCCUGGUAUACCCUGGCCGGCCAUUGAUAAUCUAAAUAUAAACGCCACGAAGUCGGCCGUGUAGGAGGAAAGCGUGCCGCUCCCCGGCGUGACCUCAUGCGCGAGUUACCACGGGGUUAUCGUGCGUGUAACUCGUGUCCCUUAUCGGUUAUCGUUGCCACGGCGGCGCCAUCACCGUCGAAAAAAUGUGCCCGCCAGUUUCACCGGCUGAUUCAAACACGGAGAACGCCGCUCCCUAAGGAAUCGACCCUUCGAACGUGACCCGUGACCCUUCCUUCUUUCGUUUCCCCUUCGGAGAUGUAUUCUUAUAUCCGGGAUAAGAUAACGCGAUAUUUUGUACGAUUGAUCGAUUCGAAGGGAAGUAAAGAUCGGAGAUUACAAAAAGGUCAGUCUUUCCUCACUGUUUUCGAUUAUGGCAGACGUUUUAGAAUAGCCUACACGAGGCCAGAAGUUAACGAUACUUGGAGGUUCUAGGGGGUUGAAGAUUAUGAAAAGGUUAAUUUUUUUUAACUCUUUUGAAUUGUAGAAAUUUGUUGAUCAGAUUUCUUAGCCCGUUGCCCGUUUAAUCGGUUCACCAGGAGGAGACGAGCCAACUCGUUACUCGGAUUGCCAAUCCCGGCUGCGAAGAAGUCUUUGGCUACCAGGCUAAAAGAGAUUGCUGCACGAAGCUGACAAUUGACGAUGAGAUUGCGUUUAUGAGUCGUAGAACAGGUGCCAAUUUUUCUGCCAGAUCGGGGCCAAUAUCGAGGAGUCACGAACGGACCUGCACCACCUAAAAAAUAAACGAUCUAUUUAUUUAAAAAAAUAGAGAAAAGAUACGUAAAGGUUGUAGCGGCUUAUGAAAGUAUUUGCAGACUUACGGAUACUUUUUACGAAUAUAUCAUGUAAAUCUUUCCUCUGCAAAGAAGAUGCGACAAUGCGAUCACAAGAUGACGGUCUCAAACAAAAUUACCAACGCACGUAUACCUCUUGGAACAGCUAAGAAGAAAAGGCGAACUAACAACGGAGCGAUGAAAAUAAAUAGUGGCGAUGAAGCUUGUUGAUUUCGAAGCUUUCUAGAAUUUCUAACUUCUUGUGGAUCGAAUAAGAAUUGUUCUGUCGCAAAUACCACUUCCAUAGCUGUCGGAAAUAUCUAUCUACAAAGAUGCAGCUGAAAUAAUUUCGCGAGAAAUUGCACGCGUGUACGAAAUGUUGCCGGUGACUGCAGAGGAACAACAGACACAGCUGAAGAUUCCGGUUUGUCGAGAAAACUCACCAACCAACAUGUUUACUUCCCCUUCGAUGAAGUUCUUUUCUAGUUAUACUUACUUUUUUUGCGUCUCGACUUGUUCGGCCUUGAUCCAGAGAAUGUGAAAAAUAUCAGCGGGAAAUGGGACGCAAUACGAUUGGAAGAAUUGUAAACAAGUACAAGGUUCGUCGAACAAUAAUCCAGACCUUGGAAAAUACCAAAAUCAAUAUGAAAUCGAUAAUUCUCCAAAUUUAUCAACUUGUACAAGUUCUACGACGAUUGCCCUCGAUUUAUUUAAAUUGCUCGGUCGAACACCAUCUUUCUUCGCUGUUAAAUAUUAAGAACGAUAGUAGGUCCCGUUCUAUGAAUUUCAUGAACUAUAGUACACUUUUUUCGAUUUCUGCUCGAGCUUCGCUACGAAUUUAUCGAAUAACCUAAUACUAUAUUUUCAAGACGAAAGGUCAAUUUCGUUAGAUAUUAUGAAGGAAGACGGCUGACGGAAGAGGUAGAAGAGAAGCAAGACGCGUGCCGCGAGGUCUAAGGUCGGCUCGUGUACGACCUGCAACCGAUAUGACGAUCGAGGAAAUAACAAUUGACUCGGUAUUAUCGUGCACAAACGUUAGCCACUGAUCCCUCCAUUCUGUUUCAUCGACGUUUCCUUUGAUCCUCGCAACUCUAACGAAGAAAUAUCGUUCGUCGCUAUACAAACUUGGCCGCUCUAGUUUCCGCGCAACUCCGACUACUUUCCACGCACUGUGACUACCAGAAUACGAAUUUUUACGCAAAUUCAUAUUUUUGUUAUUUCGUGCUAUUCAAGAAAUAGAAUCCCGAUAGAAAAUUAUUUUUUAUACCGUAUGUUACAGAAAGCACUGUAUAUCUUCUUUGUAUACUUUAUAUAUUUCUUCAUAUUACGCGCAUUCUGUGCAAUUUGACACUUUCAAAUUUCCUAUGUUUGCAUAAAGAUCCGCAGUCUGACGAUUGCUAUUCAUCGAAUGUAUUUUCACGAUUACAAUUUUCAUUAUAUUUUGUAAUUUUUUUUUUUUCUUAAUUGAAUCAUGAAAGUAUUCGAAUACUUGUAUAAUAAGACUUUAUACGAAUAUGUUAGUAUAGAACAUUUAAAAAUUAAUUAACACUGUAACGAGACUAAUAGAUGUCCCUUAGCGUGUUAUAAUCAUAUGUAUAAAUAUAACGAAGAAUAAGAAGUGUAGAAACUAAGAUGAGAAGAAGGCAACGGUCAAGAAAAGAGAUUGAUCCUGAUUCGAGCAAUUUACAAUUGUUGAUUUCCAUACAAAUUUGAACAAAAGCUAUUUGCAGAAUACUUGCAAUAACAACGUUAUCGUUAAUUAAUGAAAUCAUAGAUAAUUUUAACGAUUUUGCAAAACAUGUGGGAGAUGAAAACUAAGAAUAUUCCAUAUGCCAAGUGCAAAGUAAGUAGUAUAAACCGGUUGCUGUUUUGAUUGACCUUCACUGCUCUAAAUCAAAGUUUAUCAGAACUACAAUAUAAAGCAUGGAAGUUCGAUAUGCGCAAAAUAUUUACAUUAAUAAUCAAUCAAGGAGCCCAGACAAGUCAGCAAAUCGGAAUAUCACGAUCUGUCAAUCUUUCUCAAUUUUUACAUCUCGAUUCUCAUAUUUCAUCGUUAUAUAAUUCUGACGUCUUCAAAUCAUAGCACAAAGGAUUAAUUAAAUUACAAUCACUUCGAUCGAUCCGACGUUUCAAAUAAUAAAACGCUCAAACUAUAUUCCAAGUCAGAUUAUUUUAAUAUCUUAUUCGAGCCCUAGCUUAUUUCGAGUCUCGUUUCAGACUCAAUCGUCUUUGUCAGACGUAGUAAGUCCAAACUUUCUAUAAUUUACUCCAACCUCAUAAACUUGGAAUUUACUUACAUAUUAGAAUGCAUCUACGAUGUCCACAAUGUAGAAUUUACGAUCCAUUUGCAAUUUAGAAUUCAUUUACGAUAUCUACGAUACAGGAUUCACGGAAUGCAUAAUGCAUAAUUCUAGAUCCAUUAAAUAUAUCUACGAUGUAGAAUUUAGAACUCAUUUACAUAUAAAAUGAUUACAAAGCAUGCCGAAUUACAAUAUUCGCAUGCGCGUAUAUUCUGUUCCGCUGUUUUAAGACACAGUUUCCAUUAGACUCGAAGUACUCAAGAUGAAAACAUAGUUCAAACGAAGCUAUCAAACAGCGCACAUCACAUGCACGCGAUUCAUUCAUAGACAAUUAUUGUAAUAAUUCAUUGUAUAAUACGGCCACGAUAUAGCGAGGUCGUAAAUCAAAUUAUGGAAUAACCGUACAGCUCUCUGCAACAUUUUCUUCCGAGAUUUUAUAUUCAUUAGAAGUAGAAAACCUGCAACUAUUAAUUUUUUACUUUAACCACUAUUUUGAUUCAAGAUUCGAAAUACAAGAACGAGGAAGAGGAAUUGUAAUAUAAAUAUAAAUCUUUAUUUAUUUUGCAUAUACAUAUACAAAAAUAUAAUAUCCGAAUGUAAAUUAAUUAUUGGCUCUUAUUACAUUUAUAUUAGACUGCAAGCAUUACAAUCCUUAUCAUAACUAUAAACACGGGUUACAUUUUGUAUUUCUUACAAACAAGCAUCGAUUCCUAAACGAUUAAGAUCCAUUCAUUUCCGCUCGUAAAAUACCAUAACACUGUAUUGAAAAAAGGAUCGAGACACCCCGUAUACCAAUACCAUACACUAAAUCGUACAUUACAUGUUUUUUUAAAAAUAAAUAUCGCUUUCUGAACAAACACGAUUCGAUAAAACGACUGGUACAGUUUUCCACUUUACGAGAAACAAACACCCUGUAAUAUCCCGAGUACACUGUGUAUAUUGAUACCGUGUUAAUUCUCUGUAUAUUAUAUAUUUAUUACUCUGUAUAUUGCAUACAUCGCAUACAUAGUUUUUCAACCAAACAUCGAAGAAAACAAAAUACGUAGAAUGAUCCGCACGUGUCGCGCCGAUAUCAGUAGUAUAACCCAACGCCUGGUCAGCCCGAAAUUCCAAAGACGUUUCGCGAAUCUGUCUCGCGCGUAACAAUUCGCACGUGUCAAAAUACUAUCGCCGAGAUACAUAAUACGUACUCGUUCGUGAUCGAUGCAUACACAAACCGAACCUCGGCUCGUCCUCGUUCGAACGAAUCUGAACGCGGAGGCGCGUGUAAGCUUUAUCGCCCUCCCCCGCGAGCCACGCAGCCCCGAUUUCAAAGUGCAGUCAACAGCAUGUGCACGUGAUUCUCAAUCGAAUCGGACCUAGAUUCGGCACAGCUGCACGACCGCGUUUCCGCGACGCCGCCGGUCUAGCAUUUCUUAGGGAAAAAUCGAGCCAGUAGAAAACAGAUAGCUGGAAAUGAUGGACAGCGAAACGAUACCGCCGAAGAGCGGGCGAACUUAACCCCGUUGCCCAUGGGUUCCACGGGGGGGCAGAUCGAAGUCUAAACACGAUUAUGCAACGUUGUGUAGUCUGGCCGACAGUGUUAUUAUCGAUUGGUAGAUUGCUAUUGUAUUAUAUGUUUAUGUAUCUUUGACAAAAUUCAGCAUACGAAAACCUACAAAGUGCACAGAUACGGCAGUGCAAAGAUACAGUUGGGGUCAAAAAUAAGUGCACACUUAGUGAAAAUAGAUAAAUAGACGAUGUUUUUCCAAAUACAACUUGUUUACGCAAAAAUGUAAAUAUUAAUUUGAAUUAUUCGCUGCGCGAUCUAUGUACUGUGAGACAUAUAACAUAUAAAACUUUGAUAUACAGGGUGCGGGCAAAAUUGUAUCGCACAUUUUUUACUUAUUUUCCCAUAUAGAAUGACAUCAGAUAGAUCGUUUACUUGUAUCCAGUCGAUAAUUAGGCACGUUCGAGUAUACUAGAUAAAUUUUCAAAUUCGAAUUUGUAGGAAAUCGUGCCUCCGAGGAAAAUAUCUUCUUAUUUUUGCCUAAGGAAUCAUCUCGUUCCCGCUUGUACAUAACUUUCGAUCGUAGCUUGUAUAACGCUAGUGUCAGUUCGAUUAAACUUUAUCGAUAGCUCCACCACCUGUCCGCUUAUUUUUCUUCCCGAUUGUAUAAAUUGUUUUAAAAUGUCGAGGACGAACUUUUGGAAACGUGUAGUACUCGUCAAAAUUAGCGGUAAGGUCUUGACAAACACGAGACGUUCUCUACUUCAAGAAGAAUUUACACGCAACGAUUCGCGAAAGGUGACGCGAACGUGGUGGCCUGUGACAUGGUCGUCUUGUUCACCCCAUUUAAGUCUCUUAUCUGUGGUGACAUGUAAAAACUAUGGAGAAUAGUAAUUCAGUUGCUUCGCAAACUCUAUGAGAAAACUAAUUCUCCAUAAGAAAACGUAUCCAAGUGUGUGUUGAAAUCAACCGGGGAUAUAUCGAACAUAUGUUGUAGAGAUAGUGUCUUACUAACAAAAACAUGUCGUAACUACGAAACGAAUAGUUUUUUGACCCAUGUCCGUUAAGACAUGUUUGUUUGUUUUAACGAGUACUGCCUGCAUGAUUCGGUUAAUUUGUCUCCAACACUCUGUGUGUCUCGAAAUAUCUGCAGUUUUAGAACACGCUGAAUGAAAUUUUGAAAAAUCCUCACUAUGUUCGAACGAAACAUUUUUCUACUUUUUACUUUACAGAAAAUUGAUUACUUUUAUCGAAGGAGAUUGAAAGUUUGAAGAAAAUCAAAAGUAAGGAUUUCUCAGAAAAUAAGGAGUUCCAGGGACAGACGAUUCAUUCGCUCUAAGAAAUUUUUAAUUUCCACUGUAAACUAGUUUAUCGAAAUCUUUUGUUUAAUAAAUCAGUAAAAGUUGAGUAAAGUAACAAAUUUUUCCUUUCCGAAGUCAUAAUGUAGGUUAUUGAAAUAUUAAGAUACAAUUUCUACCAAAGAAACGAAGAUGGAAGGUAGAAAAUGGAAAAAAUACGUAACGAAGCGUUUAUUCGUAAAGUUUACAAGAAAUCAUUAGAAACACCAAAACCUGAGAACGUUUGCAACUUUCCGAAAUUUCUACGGAAGAAGAAACUAUCUGUGGUGGCUUUGAUAUUAACGAUGUCUUCUACGUGAAGUUUCCAUUCCUGGCUCCUGCUGACUCCGCUGGAAGAGCGUUGAAUAACCGUCACAGUUAUUUUUAAAAGACGAUAACUGUAAUAAGAGGUAGAAUAAGUGGCUGUAUUACACCGUUUAGAUUGAAUUUGGACAAGUACGAGGAUGUCGAUGGAUGUUUUCAAGAGUAAACGAAGUGAAAGAUGGUUGAUAAUAAGGGUGACUCGAGUGGAUAUUUUCUUGGCAAUUUUUACCAAUGAAAAUUCCGAUAUUCAACUAGAAUAACAAGAUAAAAGGAAGAUUCAAUUAAAAUAUGCAAACGUUUCUUAGAAUUUCUGGAAAAUUCAUAUUAAUUAAAGAAAUAACAUAUCGCUGUAAAAAUGUUGUUAUCUCUUACACAUGUAUACAGGGUGUCUCAGCUAAAUUAGAUCGUCUAAAUAUUUGCUUUAAUUACGAUCGUAUAAAAAAUCCUUCCCGAUAAAAGGAAGAUUCAAUUAAAAUAUGCAAACGUUUCUUAGAACUUCUAGAAAAUUCGUAUUAAUUAGAGAAAUAACGCAUCGUUGCAAAAAUGUUAUUAUCUUGUGUACAUGUAUAGUGCGAGACUCAACUAAAUGAGAUCACCUAAAUAUUUGUCUUAUUUACGAUUGUAUGAAAAAUCUUCUCAGGACAAAUUUGAACUGUUUCAAGGGAUGCAUAUAAUGACGGAAAGAAGUUUUUCUCAAGUAUACUGUAUCUUUCGUAGAAGAUGUAAAAAUUUCAAAGUUUUGAUCUAUGAAACAACAUACACAUUUCAAUG
Molecule: long non-coding RNA, 9791 nt
Organism: Bombus pascuorum
Lineage: Eukaryota; Metazoa; Arthropoda; Insecta; Hymenoptera; Apidae
Exons: 5
Source: RefSeq, a predicted model, not a curated record